Molecule: unclassified non-coding RNA, 3951 nt
Filed under: Leishmania donovani
Lineage: Eukaryota; Euglenozoa; Kinetoplastea; Trypanosomatida; Trypanosomatidae
Description: gene:LdHU3.28.0430(CDS-product:hypothetical_prote in_conserved)
Source: RNAcentral
UAGCGUCCUCUCCUUUCCAGUCCGGUUUCUGCUUUUCCAUUCCUCGCCGUCAUCUGCGCACUCACUGGGUAGCCCCGCUGACUGGACGAGCUGUCGUGCGGUCGUAGUGUAGCACAGCAGAGUCCGCGCAGAGCGAAUGGCCCUACGCUGUGGACACAAACCCCUCCAUUCCUCAGUGUCAUCCUCUCCUGCCUCCUCCCCCCUCGUCCGCCAACGGCGCUCCCGUCGGAGUGCCUAUUCGAGGUAUCGCGUGCCCCUCUCGUUGUGUUCGCCGCCGGUGGUGGCCUGCAGCAGAACUGACUCGUCAUGCCUGCGGCUGUUACGCAGUUGGUGCGGCGUCUUACCGUGCCGGCUGUGGCCACGUCGCUCAUGAAAGAGGAGCUGUGCUUGGCCCUUGCUGCUGUCGCCCAACUGCGGCCGAACCUCUCUACCGCGACGGAUGAAGGAACCACCGCCUCGCCGCUCUCCACCGAGACCCUCGCGCGUCGCAGCUUGCGAGUGCUGCCUCGCUGCGCCCCGCAGGAAGUGCGAAUCAUUGCCAAUGGCGCCAGCGCCUUACAGUGGUUUUCGGCCCCGUCGCUGCCCGUGACAGAUGCGCUUGCGCGCACGCUCUACACGCACACUGUAAAGUGGAACCGGUCGGCAACAGCUGCGAAGACCGCAGCCACGCACAGGGUGCGACUGAGUGACAUACUCGCCGUUGUCCAGCUGGCGGCAGAGGCGCAGCGCUACUUCGACGCCACUAUCUUUCUGUUGGCCACGCAACAUGCAGUGGAAGUCGGCGCUCAGUCGACGAGCAUGUCGACAGCGGUCGCCGAGGAGUUUGUCGCCGUUGUAUGUGGGUACGCUGGGGAGGUGGACGGCGCGGCUGCGGUAGAGCGGUUGGCCGCGCGUCUAGAGGCAUCGUCCGCUGCCGCCUCUAACUCUCCUGGCCUCGCCGUGCUGAAGGCUUGCGUGCGUGGCCGGCCACUAAAAGUCGCUGACAGGUGGGCGGCGCCGUACGCGCGGUGGGCGCAGCAGCGUCGAAACCUCCUCGAGACUGCCCGCUCUCCGGGGGACGCUGCAGCGCCAACGCAUGCUGCAGACGGCGCCGCUCGCACCCCGAUCCAACUCCUGAAGGCGCGUUACGACGCCUGGCAAGUUGCCCUCGCGCUCCUCACGGAAGAGGAAGAAGUCGCGGACGAUCGUCUGCAGCGGACGCUCGAGGCUGUAGGGGUGUUUCACAUUCAAGAUCCGGUGACGCUCUCGACUCUCGACAAAGCGGUGGCGCUCCGGGUGGUUUCGCCGACUUUGCCGAGCGUAGUUCUCGCCAACUACGAAAACUGCGUGUACGCACAGGCGCAGCACUACCCACAGGCGCUCACUGCCUUGAAGCAGAGGGAUGCCGACACCCCAGCCGCGGUGACAGGUGCACGAGAAGGGACAUCUUUCUCCUCUUUUCGACCGCCUGCCGAGGCGCUGCAGCGUGUGUCAGUGAUCCAUCGCGUGUACAAGGAUGCCGUUGCCGGCGCUGUCGUUUCAGAGAAGGACCUGUUCCAGAUAACCACCGUCAUCGGCACGUCCUCGGCGGACGAGGUCGCCAUGGCCACUUAUGUGUUUGCGCGUGUAAAGGAGGUGCCGACGAGCUUUCUGACGAUGCUGACGAAGCAGUCGAUGUCGCUGACGGCGGAGGGUGUGGUGGCGCUCGUCCGCGCGGGCCGCCACGACCGUCGUGGCGCACUGUCCAUAGUGCUACCGGAAUGUCUGCGCCAUUCCGCACACCUUCAAGAGUGCAUCUUGUCGGCCCCCACAACGGUGCUGGUGAAGCUGGCUGAGGCCCUUGGCCGGCCAGUCUCCCGGUGGACGGCGCCAAGCGACCAGACGGGUGCCUUGGAAAAACAGGUCGUGGACAUGGUGGUCGCACACCUCUUACCCCAAGUGGAGCAGAUGCCGCUGCCUGCGCUCCUGUCUGUCAUGGCCAUCGGCGGCCGCCACCUCGCUGGAGCGGAUGACCUGAUGCAGGCCGUGUGCAGCCGCGUCGCCGACCACUUGGUGGCGGCAGUGACUCCACCAUCCAUCGCCCUCUGCCUGGAAGUGCUGGCGGCGUUACACUCGGGCAACUGUCGGCAGGAGCGGCUGCUGGACGCUCUCGCCGAUGCCGUUGCAGCACACUUUGCUCCCCUGCUUCAGCUCACCAUCAGUGCAGAUGCGCCGUGCCUCGCCGCCCUGCUGCACUUCGCAACGAUUCAGGUGCAGUACGGCUCGCCAGAGUUGGCGGCAGUGGGCGCAGGCCUUGUGCAAAGAGUGCGCCAGGGAGGAUGGGACGCGCUGCCACCGGAGAUGCUGGUGGCAGCCGCGCUCUUCGCUCUGGACAGCAGCACCCUGGUUUCAUCCGCGACAUCGCUGGAGCUGCCGCACGCGGUGGUGGCACACUUAGUUGCGGCGCAGCGCCUUUCGAGCAUCAUGACCGUUGACUUGGCCGUCGCCCUCGUCCAGCUACUCGAGCUGAUCCCCACUGUCGAUGCAGAUAACACCCAGGCGCUCGUGACAUGCGUGCGGCCGGUUGCUUCGGCGCUGUCCCCACUAGUGUUAGCUCGCUUGCUGACUUUAAGGCAUCGCAGCUCGACAGCAGCAGCAACGCCUUCGGCAGAGGUCGCAGCAGAGCACUACAACACCGUCAGCAGACACGUGUUGGGCCUGCCUCCCGACACGUUCACCGCCCUCUGCCUCGUCGCCGCGCGCCCCGGGUUCGAAACAGCGCUCGCCAACCUUCUCGUUGACAUGUUGCCGCUCAUGGCCGACGCCCUCUCGGCACACCAGCUGAGCCAGUGCGUGUUUGGGUUGGGGGAGAUGACGGAUGCAGGCCAGCGCCUCUCGCAUCAAGUCAUGACGGAGGCUCUCUCGGACUACGCUGUUGAUAACCUUGAGCUGUUCACCAGCGCCCGCGACAUCGCCGCCCUUCUGCACGGCUUUGCCAAGCUGCAGUGCACGAAUCGGAACCUUUACAGCGUCUUCUCCACGCAACUUCUGCGCCGCCCCAUCAUCGCGACUCUCGAGUUCCGCUCGAUCAGCCUCCUCUUCUUUGCAUUCGGGAGCGUGAGGUUUGUGAACAAGGACCUCAUGGACAUUCUCUGUCGCACCUUCAUCGUCCACAUCGACAGUCUUGCCGCCCCGGACGUGCUCAUGUCGCUUCGCGGACUCAGCCGCAUGAGUCUACUGAAUGCCGCCUUCUACCGCAAGGUAGGAACGAAGGCGAUCGAGAUUAUAGACGAGUUCCCGCUCCAGGCGCAGUGCGACCUCCUCCACGCAUACGGCGCUGUGGAGGAGGCUCAUCCUGAGCUGGCGGCGACGCUCUCGCGGCGCAUCGCCGCGGGGGUGGAGUCGUUGCCAUCUGUCUCCGUCGCCACGGACGUGCUGGCAUCGUUGUGGCUCAUGGGCGCCAACAUGACGAUGGACGAGGGCAUUGAAACGAUUGUCGACUACGUUGUGCGGCACGCGAGCGAGCUGACUGGGCCGGACAUGAUGAAACUUUGCUCCAUCACGCUCAAUCAGAACUGGAAGCAGCCCCAGCUGCUGCAUGGCAUGGCAACACGUGCCAUCGAGUUGCAGGAGAAAGAGCAGCUAGAGCCGACCACAGCACGCGCAGUGCUGGACACGCUGAGCUCGCAACUUGUCUUCCACCAGGCGGCGCGUGUUCGCCUGUCGCAGCUGGCUCGCACCGUGAGCAAGGAAACGGUGCUGCUUUCCGGUGAGGAGCAGGAGCAGCUGAACCUGAUCACAAGCCACUAAGCGACGGCGGCAGGGUGGGUGCAUGGGCACGUGUGGAUGUCCAGAUGUUAGCGCGCGCCGGCAUGCGUGCGUGGGUAAGCGGGCUUGGCGUUUUUACUUGUUUUUCAGUCUGAAGUGAACGUAGGCUUUGUCAGCGGAAGCACGAACGUCUGGAUUGUUCACCUUGCCAGCAUGAUAACACAC